Molecule: long non-coding RNA, 351 nt
Organism: Jaculus jaculus (lesser Egyptian jerboa)
Lineage: Eukaryota; Metazoa; Chordata; Mammalia; Rodentia; Dipodidae
Exons: 3
Source: RefSeq, a predicted model, not a curated record
CUCUCUCUUCUCUCUGUGGAGAGGACCUCUGUACAGGGAUCUACAGUGUCAGGAAGCCCAAACAGGCAAGGUCAAGGGCAAAGUGGACCAGGAAUUAGAAAUAAUUUCCAGGCUAAUUAAAUGUAACCCCUCUGUGGCCUCACCUCCUUGGAAUUAGAGGGGACCAUGAGCUUUCAGCUCACCAGCUCACCAUUGUAUGGAGAAAGAAGUAUAUUUUCAAGUUCGGCAGAUGGUGGCUUAAGAUUGCAAGGCUAACCUGAAAUCGUUUGUUUUCCCCGAAAUAUGUAUCCUCAGAGUAUUAUUUAAGUCAAAACCAGCCUAUCCAAGAGCUUUAAUUAACCAGAUCACCCA